RNAcentral lists this ribosomal RNA (497 nucleotides) under uncultured bacterium. Its description in RNAcentral is "partial 16S ribosomal RNA". It matches the Rfam family "Bacterial small subunit ribosomal RNA", at positions 28 to 507 of the family's 1533-position model. The record is from RNAcentral.
GACGAACGCUGGCGGCGUGCCUAAUACAUGCAAGUUGAGCGCUGAAGGUUGGUACUUGUACCAACUGGAUGAGCAGCGAACGGGUGAGUAACGCGUGGGGAAUCUGCCUUUGAGCGGGGGACAACAUUUGGAAACGAAUGCUAAUACCGCAUAAAAACUUUAAACACAAGUUUUAAGUUUGAAAGAUGCAAUUGCAUCACCCAAAGAUGAUCCCGCGUUGUAUUAGCUAGUUGGUGAGGUAAAGGCUCACCAAGGCGAUGAUACAUAGCCGACCUGAGAGGGUGAUCGGCCACAUUGGGACUGAGACACGGCCCAAACUCCUACGGGAGGCAGCAGUAGGGAAUCCUCGGCAAUGGACGAAAGUCUGACCGAGCAACGCCGCGUGAGUGAAGAAGGUUUUCGGAUCGUAAAACUCUGUUGGUAGAGAAGAACGUUGGUGAGAGUGGAAAGCUCAUCAAGUGACGGUAACUACCCAGAAAGGGACGGCUAACUACGUG